AGGAUUAUAGUUUAUUAAAACAUUUGAUUUGCAUUCAAAUAUUAUUGAAUUAUUCAAUUUAUCUUA
This 66-nucleotide transfer RNA is filed under the name Parasarpa zulema. Its description in RNAcentral is "Sumalia zulema tRNA-Ala". It matches the Rfam family "tRNA". Rfam says of the family: Transfer RNA (tRNA) molecules are approximately 80 nucleotides in length. Their secondary structure includes four short double-helical elements and three loops (D, anti-codon, and T loops). Lineage: Eukaryota; Metazoa; Arthropoda; Insecta; Lepidoptera; Nymphalidae. The record is from RNAcentral.